UGGGGAAUAUUGGGCAAUGGGCGAAAGCCUGACCCAGCAACGCCGCGUGAAGGAAGAAGGUUUUCGGAUUGUAAACUUCUGUCCUCAGGGAAGAAACAAAUGACGGUACCUGAGGAGGAAGCCCCGGCUAACUACGUGCC
Molecule: ribosomal RNA, 140 nt
Filed under: uncultured bacterium
Lineage: Bacteria
Description: partial 16S ribosomal RNA
Rfam family: Bacterial small subunit ribosomal RNA
Source: RNAcentral